Molecule: small RNA, 1533 nt
Filed under: Pongo abelii (Sumatran orangutan)
Lineage: Eukaryota; Metazoa; Chordata; Mammalia; Primates; Hominidae
Description: retained intron
Source: RNAcentral
GAAGAGUGGCUGGAGAAGUUGCAGGGAAUUAUUUGAUAGCACAUACUGAUGGCUCUGAAGAAGUCAUCACCCUCACUGGAUUCUGGUGAUAGUGACUCUGAGGAGUUGCCAACAUUUGCCUUUCUGAAGAAGGAACCAUCUUCAACAAAGAGGAGACAGCCUGAAAGGGAAGAGAAGAUUGUAGUGGUUGACAUCUCAGAUUGUGAAGCCUCCUGUCCUCCAGCACCAGGGUUACUUUCACCACCUGUCCCAGACAUAGCUGAAACUGUCACACAAACACAGCCAGUCAGGUUGCUAAGCAGUGGAAGUGAAGAUGAAGAAGAAUUUAUUCCUCUGGCUCAAAGGCUUAAAUUGCUUUUACAGAUGGAAGGUGGGGGCCAGCUCCUAGGAGCACUGCAGUCCAUGGAGUGCCGCUGUGUGAUUGAGGCGCAGGCUGUGCCUUGCAGUGUCACUUGGAGGAGAAGGGCUGGGCCGUCUGAGAGAGGACUGGGUGGAGGAGCCAACAGUACUGGUGUUGCUCCGGGCAGAGGCAUUUGUGUCCAUGAUCGACAAUGGAAAGCAGGGAAGCCUGGACAGCACUAUGAAAGGCAAGGAAACGCUUCAGGGCUUUGUAACUGACAUCACGGCAAGGACAGCAGGGAAAGCUCUGUCACUGGUGAUUGUGGAUCAGGAGAAAUGCUUCAGUGCUCAGAAUCCUCCAAGAAGAGGGAAACAGGGAGCAAAUAAACAGACCAAGGAGAAGCAGCAGAGACAACCAGAGGCCAGCAUAGGGUCCAUGGUAUCCAGGGUAGACGCUGAAGAGGCAUUGGUGGAUCUGCAGCUACACACAGAAGCCCAGGCUCAAAUUGUGCAGAGCUGGAAAGAGCUAGCCGACUUCACAUGCGCAUUCACAAAGGCUGUGGCUGAGGUGCCCUUCAAGUGAGUAACCCCAGCAAGUCCAGCCUCCACGCUGGGCCUUGUCCUUUACCAUGGCUCUUGCAGUCAAAGCAAAUGUCCCUUUCCCCUCAUCUCUGCAGUCAGCCCAUUGUCUCUCAAGCUUGAGGCAGAAGGAGCUGACCUCACACUGGAGAUUCUUGAGAAGAGUCCUCAAGCCUAGCCCCUUUUCAAAUAUUCUCCUUUCGCCUAUAUGUAAGUAUGUGUUCUGCAGGCUGAUAUCAUAGGCCAGGUUACCAUAGGCCAAGUUACCAGGAUUAAUUACAGGUCAGAUCACAAUGUAACAAGCACUAGGAAAGCAAAUUUUUAGCCUACUCAGUUCAAGAAGUGUUCAUUGUCAGAAUUUAAAAUAAGUAAAUGACCUCAGAGAUAAUCCAGUCCCUUAUUUUAUACUUGAGGGGACUGAGGCCUGAAGAGAUUGACUUGUCUAAGCUCCUAGCAGUUAGAAGAACCAGAAAUAGAUUCCAGAUUGCCAAAUAUCCAAAGAAUCUGGUAUCUUUUCUUCUACUAAAAUGGACUAGAUGUAGUUUUUAAAUGAAUCAGCAACUGGCCCUAUACCUGGGAACAAAGUGAGCACUCAAAUUGUCAAAGGCACAAAAA